UACAGAGGGUGCAAGCGUUAAUCGGAAUUACUGGGCGUAAAGCGCACGUAGGCGGCUUGGUAUGUCGGGUGUGAAAUCCCCGGGCUCGACCUGGGAACUGCAUCCGAAACUGCCUUGCUCGAGUAUGGGAGAGGGAAGUGGAAUUUCCGGUGUAGCGGUGAAAUGCGUAGAUAUCGGAAGGAACAUCAGUGGCGAAGGCGACUUCCUGGACCAAUACUGACGCUCAGGUGCGGAAGCGUGGGGAGCAAACAGG
Molecule: ribosomal RNA, 253 nt
Filed under: uncultured bacterium
Lineage: Bacteria
Description: partial 16S ribosomal RNA
Rfam family: Bacterial small subunit ribosomal RNA
Source: RNAcentral